UACGUAGGGUGCGAGCGUUAAUCGGAAUUACUGGGCGUAAAGCGUGCGCAGGCGGUUUGUUAAGUCAGAUGUGAAAGCCCCGGGCUCAACCUGGGAAUGGCAUUUGAAACUGGCAAGCUUGAGUAUGGCAGAGGGGGGUGGAAUUCCGCGUGUAGCAGUGAAAUGCGUAGAGAUGCGGAGGAACACCGAUGGCGAAGGCAGCCCCCUGGGCCAAUACUGACGCUCAGGCACGAAAGCGUGGGGAGCAAACAGG
RNAcentral lists this ribosomal RNA (253 nucleotides) under uncultured bacterium. Its description in RNAcentral is "partial 16S ribosomal RNA". It matches the Rfam family "Bacterial small subunit ribosomal RNA", at positions 524 to 776 of the family's 1533-position model. The record is from RNAcentral.